CAGAGAAGGAAAUAGAGGAAAUUCACAGUAAAUAUCGAAAAAAGCACCAGAAUGAAUUCCAGCUUCUGGUGGAUCAGGCCAAAAAAGGAUACAAGAAAACUGGCAGAAUGUCAAAAGCUGCAGUAAUGAGGAAAGAUGAACCUGCAGAGACACUGCCAUCUGAACGUAUGGAAAUGAUCAAAACAAAGAAGUAAGCCCACAACAGAAUCGUCGCACUAGAGCCACUGAACGUGCUGAGAUUGAACCAAGAAACAAGCGGAAUAAGAAUUAGUAUGGCCUUUUGCCAGUUUUUCUGAACGGUGACCUGAGUAUGAUAUUUUUAUUGCCAUGUGUGGUUUCAUAUUUAGCAAUAUCCAAGGAAGAUUUUUUUAAGUCUAAAUGCAAUAGUUAAUUUAUUUUCAUUCUUCUUUGCCUUCCUGAACAACAGCAACAACAACAAA
RNAcentral lists this long non-coding RNA (440 nucleotides) under Rattus norvegicus (Norway rat). RNAcentral's name for it is "long non-coding RNA NONRATT021690". Lineage: Eukaryota; Metazoa; Chordata; Mammalia; Rodentia; Muridae. The record is from RNAcentral.